This 485-nucleotide ribosomal RNA is filed under the name uncultured bacterium. RNAcentral describes it as "partial 16S ribosomal RNA". It matches the Rfam family "Bacterial small subunit ribosomal RNA", at positions 27 to 507 of the family's 1533-position model. The record is from RNAcentral.
GAUUGAACGCUGGCGGCAGGCCUAACACAUGCAAGUCGAGCGGAUGAAGGGAGCUUGCUCCUGGAUUCAGCGGCGGACGGGUGAGUAAUGCCUAGGAAUCUGCCUGGUAGUGGGGGAUAACGUCCGGAAACGGGCGCUAAUACCGCAUACGUCCUGAGGGAGAAAGUGGGGGAUCUUCGGACCUCACGCUAUCAGAUGAGCCUAGGUCGGAUUAGCUAGUUGGUGGGGUAAAGGCCUACCAAGGCGACGAUCCGUAACUGGUCUGAGAGGAUGAUCAGUCACACUGGAACUGAGACACGGUCCAGACUCCUACGGGAGGCAGCAGUGGGGAAUAUUGGACAAUGGGCGAAAGCCUGAUCCAGCCAUGCCGCGUGUGUGAAGAAGGUCUUUGGAUUGAAAAGCACUUUAAGUUGGGAGGAAGGGCAGUAAGUUAAUACCUUGCUGUUUUGACGUUACCAACAGAAUAAGCACCGGCUAACUUCGUG